This is a long non-coding RNA of Esox lucius (northern pike), 376 nucleotides long. Lineage: Eukaryota; Metazoa; Chordata; Actinopteri; Esociformes; Esocidae. The record is from Ensembl.
CGGCUGUGUAUCAAAUACCAGUGGAAGCACGGACUGGCUCCAGAGGAACUUUGGCGUAUUUUCAGUUUUUGUAGAACUGUCCGAGUUACAAGUUCUUAAUCCCGGGUUUUCCAGCAUGGAAUCUCUCUCGGCGCUUACCCCAGACCAAGUGGCACAAUGGGCAUUGAGCUCUGGAGCAUUGAAUAACACCAAUGACAUCAACCUUGUGUUUGAGCGGCUGGACAAAGGAAACGCUUUCCAAAAUGUUGACCAGUUUCUGACGCAAUUGACGGCCGAUGCAGAACAGAUUCCUGACAUCUCUCCGGCCGUGAGGGAUGUAAUGAUGAAUCUGACAUUUAGCAUCAUCAGCCCUGAAUUCCAACGAUUUGAAAGGCUG